Molecule: long non-coding RNA, 485 nt
Organism: Felis catus (domestic cat)
Lineage: Eukaryota; Metazoa; Chordata; Mammalia; Carnivora; Felidae
Exons: 2
Source: RefSeq, a predicted model, not a curated record
GUGCACAAGUGGAGCCGCUGGCUGUGAGCAGGAGCCAGGGCUGUUCCUGCAUUCCGACGGGUGUGCAUGUGCAGAUGCAGGUCAGCAGAUAGGGCAGUAGGAGCUUGGGAGACCGAGGGCUGCCAUUUUCCCUAUAUGUGGUGGAUCACAGAAUUCUGAAGGUUAUGACACCAAGACCAUGGAGCGUUUGUACCCUCACCUACUUCAUUUCCUUCACUUGUCAUGGAGUAGCAGCCCCAGCCCUGGCAGGUUGUCUGGAAGACAGCCAGGCAGCCAGAGACUUCAGGAAGAUUCUUCAAGGAGUCUUGGGAGGCUGCCAUCCCCUGAAUGAAGAGUGCAGGGCUAGGAUCCUUAAUUCUAACUACUGGGAGCGAUCUGUGACAGUUACGCGUUUGCUGUGUUUGUUUUUUGACCAUUUCUUGUGUAUUCACCUAUUUAUUCAUAAACUGAUAGCAAAGAAAUAAAUAAACAGGAGUUUUGUGACA